UUAAAAUGAGAGUUUGAUCCUGGCUCAGGACGAACGCUGGCGGCGUGCCUAAUACAUGCAAGUCGAACGAAACUUUCUUACACCGAAUGCUUGCAUUCAUCGUAAGAAGUUGAGUGGCGGACGGGUGAGUAACACGUGGGUAACCUGCCUAAAAGAAGGGGAUAACACUUGGAAACAGGUGCUAAUACCGUAUAUCUCUAAGGAUCGCAUGAUCCUUAGAUGAAAGA
RNAcentral lists this ribosomal RNA (227 nucleotides) under Ligilactobacillus salivarius. RNAcentral's name for it is "Lactobacillus salivarius partial 16S ribosomal RNA". It matches the Rfam family "Bacterial small subunit ribosomal RNA", at positions 1 to 208 of the family's 1533-position model. Lineage: Bacteria; Bacillati; Bacillota; Bacilli; Lactobacillales; Lactobacillaceae. The record is from RNAcentral.